This 973-nucleotide ribosomal RNA is filed under the name cf. Polychytrium sp. JEL606. Its description in RNAcentral is "eukaryotic LSU rRNA". It matches the Rfam family "Eukaryotic large subunit ribosomal RNA", at positions 60 to 939 of the family's 3401-position model. Lineage: Eukaryota; Fungi; Chytridiomycota; Chytridiomycetes; Polychytriales. The record is from RNAcentral.
AGAAAAUACAAUGAUUCCCCUAGUAACGGCGAGUGAAGCGGGAAAAGCUCAAAUUUGAAAUCUAUCAAUUUUAUUGAUCGAAUUGUAGUUUAAAGAUCCAUUUUCUCUGGUUUGGUCAGGUAUAAGUCCUUUGAGACAAGGCAUCAUAGAAGGUGAUAAUCCUGUUUAUGACUUGACUUCAGACCGGUUGUGAUAUGGUUUCUAUGAGUCGGGUUGUUUGGGAUUGCAGCCCUAAAUGGGAGGUAAAUACCUUCUAAAGCUAAAUAUUGGCGAGAGACCGAUAGCGAACAAGUACCGUGAGGGAAAGAUGAAAAGAACUUUGAAAAGAGAGUUAAAUAGUACGUGAAAUUGUCAAUAGUGAACGGUAUGGAACUAUUGUUAGCGUUUAAGAAAUCAGCCUAUCAAAUUUUUGAUUGGUGCACUUUCUUAUUCGCUGGUCAACAUCAGUUUAGUUUGAAGUAAAAAGUGUUUUUUUUGUAAGCUCUUUUGUUUAUAAAGAAGGACUCUAUGCUUUGGAUUGGACUGAGGAAUGCAGUAUAGUCAUAGGGUAAACUAGUUUGCCUUCUGAAGCUUUGCUAUAAACAGUCUGACUGAUUGUAGUAAAGAAUUGAUGAAGCACGGCUAGUGUUCCACUCCUUUUAUACUUAGGAUGUUGACAAAAUGGUUUCAUGCCACCCGUCUUGAAACACGGACCAAGGAGUCUAACAUAUCUGCGAGUAUUUGAGUGUCAAACUCAUAUGCGAAAUGAAAGUGAAUAAGAUGAGAUUCUUUUUCCUCGUGAAAUUGAUGCACCAUCGACCGGUCUGGAUAUUUUUGGAUAGAUCUGAGUUAGAGCAUAUAUGUUAGGACCCGAAAGAUGGUGAACUAAGCCUGAAUAGGGUGAAGUCAGAGGAAACUCUGAUGGAGGCUCGUAGCGGUUCUGACGUGCAAAUCGAUCGUCGAAUUUGGGUUUAGGGGCGAAAGACUAAUCGAA